UCCUCAGUAGCUCAGUGGUAGAGCAACCGGCUGUUAACCGGUUAGUCGUAGGUUCAAGCCCUACCUGGGGAG
This 72-nucleotide transfer RNA is filed under the name Stichococcus bacillaris. Its description in RNAcentral is "tRNA-Asn". It matches the Rfam family "tRNA". From Rfam's summary of the family: Transfer RNA (tRNA) molecules are approximately 80 nucleotides in length. Their secondary structure includes four short double-helical elements and three loops (D, anti-codon, and T loops). Further hydrogen bonds mediate the characteristic L-shaped molecular structure. tRNAs have two regions of fundamental functional importance: the anti-codon, which is responsible for specific mRNA codon recognition, and the 3' end, to which the tRNAs corresponding amino acid is attached (by aminoacyl-tRNA synthetases). tRNAs cope with the degeneracy of the genetic code in two manners: having more than one tRNA (with a specific anti-codon) for a particular amino acid; and 'wobble' base-pairing, i.e. permitting non-standard base-pairing at the 3rd anti-codon position. The record is from RNAcentral. Lineage: Eukaryota; Viridiplantae; Chlorophyta; Trebouxiophyceae; Prasiolales; Stichococcaceae.